AUUGAACGCUGGCGGUAUGCUUAACACAUGCAAGUCGAACGGCAGCAUGGAGGAGCUUGCUCCUCUGAUGGCGAGUGGCGGACGGGUGAGUAACAUAUAGGAAUCUACCUUAUAGACUGGGAUAACUACUCGAAAGAGUGGCUAAUACCGGAUGUGGAUUGAGGUUUAAAGCAGGGGACCUUCGGGCCUUGCGCUAUAAGAUGAGCCUAUACAAGAUUAGCUAGUUGGUGGGGUAAAGGCCUACCAAGGCGACGAUCUUUAGCUGUUCUGAGAGGAUGAUCAGCCACACUGGGACUGAGACACGGCCCAGACUCCUACGGGAGGCAGCAGUAGGGAAUCUUCGGCAAUGGACGAAAGUCUGACCGAGCGACGCCGCGUGAGUGAAGAAGGUUUUCGGAUCGUAAAACUCUGUUGUUAGAGAAGAACAAGUGGGAGAGUAACUGUUCCCGCCUUGACGGUAUCUAACCAGAAAGCCACGGCUAACUACGUGCCA
Molecule: ribosomal RNA, 493 nt
Filed under: uncultured Lysobacterales bacterium
Lineage: Bacteria; Pseudomonadati; Pseudomonadota; Gammaproteobacteria; Lysobacterales
Description: bacterial SSU rRNA
Rfam family: Bacterial small subunit ribosomal RNA
Source: RNAcentral